UAGUUGCUGAGACUAGAAGUUUUUUUAUAUUAUGAGUGUAAAUAUUUUUACGUAGUUUCAGACUAUAUAAUGUAGAGUUUAUUUUGCUUACUGUUUUUGCAACAUGAAAAUUCCAAGAUAGAUCACUCGAUAAAUGGAGUCCAAGACACUUAGCCGAGUCCGUAUACGGGAGUGUCACACCAUCAAUGAUGAUAGGGGAAGAUUUACUUCUAAGCCAUUCUCUCUGGCCCAAUCAGCAACAGCUUGGGCAUCAACAUUUAUCAGCCUUAUUGCUUCAUGGAGCUGAUACGAAUAGAAAU
RNAcentral lists this long non-coding RNA (299 nucleotides) under Cotesia glomerata. RNAcentral describes it as "uncharacterized LOC123272874, transcript variant X1". The record is from RNAcentral. Lineage: Eukaryota; Metazoa; Arthropoda; Insecta; Hymenoptera; Braconidae.